AGAGUUUGAUCCUGGCUCAGAUUGAACGCUGGCGGCAUGCCUUACACAUGCAAGUCGAACGGCAGCGCGGACUUUGGUCUGGCGGCAAGUGGCGGACGGGUGAGUAAUACAUCGGAACGUACCCUGUUGUGGGGGAUAACUAGUCGAAAGAUUAGCUAAUACCGCAUACGACCUGAGGGUGAAAGCGGGGGACCGAAAGGCCUCGCGCAGCAGGAGCGGCCGAUGUCUGAUUAGCUAGUUGGUGGGGUAAAGGCCCACCAAGGCGACGAUCAGUAGCUGGUCUGAGAGGACGAUCAGCCACACUGGGACUGAGACACGGCCCAGACUCCUACUGGAGGCAGCAGUGGGGAAUUUUGGACAAUGGGGGCAACCCUGAUCCAGCAAUGCCGCGUGUGUGAAGAAGGCCUUCGGGUUGUAAAGCACUUUUGUCCGGAAAGAAAUUGCUCUGGCUAAUACCUGGGGUAGAUGACGGUACCGGAAGAAUAAGCACCGGCUAACUACGUGCCAGCAGCCGCGGUAAUACGUAGGGUGCGAGCGUUAAUCGGAAUUACUGGGCGUAAAGCGUGCGCAGGCGGUUUUGUAAGACAGACGUGAAAUCCCCGGGCUCAACCUGGGAAUUGCGCUUGUGACUGCAAGGCUAGAGUGCGUCAGAGGGGGGUAGAAUUCCACGUGUAGCAGUGAAAUGCAUAGAGAUGUGGAGGAAUACCGACGGCGAAGGCAGCCCCCUGGGAC
RNAcentral lists this ribosomal RNA (732 nucleotides) under uncultured bacterium. Its description in RNAcentral is "bacterial SSU rRNA". It matches the Rfam family "Bacterial small subunit ribosomal RNA", at positions 8 to 735 of the family's 1533-position model. The record is from RNAcentral.